CAGUCGCCGCGGGAAUACGGAGGGUGCAAGCGUUAUCCGGAUUUAUUGGGUUUAAAGGGUCCGUAGGCGGAUCUGUAAGUCAGUGGUGAAAUCUCACAGCUUAACUGUGAAACUGCCAUUGAUACUGCAGGUCUUGAGUAAAUUUGAAGUGGCUGGAAUAAGUAGUGUAGCGGUGAAAUGCAUAGAUAUUACUUAGAACACCAAUUGCGAAGGCAGGUCACUAAGAUUUAACUGACGCUAAUGGACGAAAGCGUGGGGAGCGAACAGGAUUAGAUACCCCAGUAGUCCCUGUCUCUUAUAA
This 301-nucleotide ribosomal RNA is filed under the name uncultured bacterium. RNAcentral's name for it is "partial 16S ribosomal RNA". It matches the Rfam family "Bacterial small subunit ribosomal RNA", at positions 509 to 809 of the family's 1533-position model. The record is from RNAcentral.